GGCGGCGCCAAGGAGCGCGGGAGGCCGGAGCUCGGCCCCCUGCAGCACUAGGCUCUGGGAGCAGCGCGGCGCGCCCACCGGCCCGGCUGCCCGUGCGCCCGCCGCAGCCUGCAUGCCCUGCGCUGCGCCUCGCCCGGCCCCAGCCGCCGCCCACUGCUCGCACCGCUGCUGCCCGGCGCCGGAGUAAUAUGCUCACUCGAGUGAAAUCUGCCGUGGCCAAUUUCAUGGGCGGCAUCAUGGCUGGCAGCUCAGGCUCCGAGCACGGCGGCGGCGGCUGCGGAGGCUCGGACCUGCCCCUGCGCUUCCCCUACGGGCGACCCGAGUUCCUGGGGCUGUCUCAGGACGAGGUGGAGUGCAGCGCCGACCACAUCGCCCGCCCCAUCCUCAUUCUGAAGGAGACCCGGCGGCUGCCCUGGGCCACUGGCUACGCAGAGGUUAUCAAUGCCGGAAAGAGCACACACAAUGAAGACCAAGCCAGCUGUGAGGUGCUCACCGUGAAGAAGAAAGCAGGGGCCGUUACCUCAACCCCAAACAGGAACUCAGCUAAGAGACGGUCCUCACUUCCCAAUGGGGAGGGGCUGCAGCUGAAGGAGAACUCGGAAUCAGAAGGCGUUUCCUGCCACUACUGGUCGCUGUUUGACGGUCACGCGGGGUCCGGGGCUGCUGUGGUGGCAUCCCGCCUGCUGCAGCACCACGUCACAGAGCAGCUGCAGGACAUCGUGGAGAUCCUGAAGAACUCGGCCGUACUGCCGCCCACCUGCCUGGGCGAGGAGCCCGACCACACACCUGCGAACAGCCGGACUCUGACCCGCGCGGCCUCCCUCCGCGGAGGGGUGGGCGCCCCUGGCUCCCCCAGCACCCCGCCCACGCGCUUCUUCACCGAGAAGAAGAUCCCGCACGAGUGCCUCAUCAUCGGGGCUCUUGAGAGUGCAUUCAAGGAAAUGGACCUACAAAUCGAACGAGAGAGGAGUUCAUACAAUAUAUCUGGUGGUUGCACAGCCCUCAUUGUGGUUUGCCUUUUGGGGAAGCUGUAUGUGGCAAAUGCUGGGGACAGCAGGGCUAUAAUCAUCAGAAAUGGAGAAAUCAUCCCCAUGUCUUCGGAAUUCACCCCUGAGACUGAGCGCCAGCGACUUCAGUACCUGGCAUUCAUGCAGCCUCACUUGCUGGGAAAUGAGUUCACACAUUUGGAGUUUCCAAGGAGAGUACAGAGAAAGGAACUUGGGAAGAAGAUGCUCUACAGGGAUUUUAAUAUGACAGGCUGGGCAUACAAAACCAUUGAGGAUGAUGACUUGAAGUUUCCCCUUAUAUAUGGAGAAGGCAAGAAGGCCCGAGUAAUGGCGACUAUUGGAGUGACCAGGGGACUUGGGGACCAUGACCUGAAGGUGCAUGACUCCAACAUCUACAUAAAACCAUUCCUGUCUUCAGCUCCAGAGGUAAGAGUCUAUGAUCUCUCCAGAUACGAGCAUGGAGCAGACGAUGUGCUGAUCUUGGCCACUGAUGGACUCUGGGAUGUGUUAUCAAAUGAAGAAGUGGCAGAAGUAAUCACUCAGUUUCUCCCUAACUGUGAUCCAGAUGACCCUCACAGGUACACACUGGCGGCUCAGGACCUGGUGAUGCGUGCCCGUGGCGUCCUGAAGGACAGAGGAUGGCGGAUAUCCAAUGACCGACUGGGCUCAGGAGACGACAUCUCUGUAUAUGUCAUUCCUUUAAUACAUGGAAACAAACUGUCAUGAAAACAGCCCAGGGUUUUAGAAGGACAGAAGGGAAGAAAGUUGGGAUGCCUCGAGGCAGGGCGAGGCUGGGAAGUACCCCAGCAGAGUUCCAGAUGAUGCCACCUCUUCCCUGCCCAGGUGGGAAGCUUGCUGCCGAAAGGCCUCUGGCUGAGCUUCAAGAGGACCCUCGGGUUUCAGUUUCAUCUUUAGUAACAGGUCUGGAUACUCAACAAGAGCAAAACAUAAAGGCUGCUACUGAGUGUUGUGUUUCUGUCGGUUCCUUUCAUAGGCCUCCUAGGUGGCCAUUGCCCAUUUGGGGACACAUCCAUCAUAUUUAUUUUAUCCAGAGAGCUGGGGCAGCCGUUUUCGGGUGUCACUGGCAGAAGACUCUUCAGCCUGCCAAGCUGCCAACUUCCCUACGGGUUAAAAGUGCUGCAUUGGAGAGUUGGGGAUCAUGCGUCAGAAGAUGUAAGCGCCCAUCUUCUAUUUCUUCAUACCAGGUAGUGGAAUGAGUUGAGAGGGUCAUGGCCUCAUGGGGAUUCAUCAACUGUGAACAGACUCAAAAGAAAAUCAGACGGGAAUGGAUGCCAACACUAUAAAUCUUCACAGGAAUCAGCGGUAAAAGCUGUACAUUUCACCAGUGCCUCUAGAACUACCAUGGAUAUUACUCCCAAGAACUACUCCCAACAGGGGGAAAAAACUGCCUCAAGUGUUAUGACGCUUUGCACAGG
Kogia breviceps (pygmy sperm whale) is the source of this 2443-nucleotide non-coding RNA. The record is from RefSeq and is a predicted model, not a curated record. Lineage: Eukaryota; Metazoa; Chordata; Mammalia; Artiodactyla; Physeteridae.